UAUGCAGAAAUGAACUUUUCCCAGAGUUCCAAAAGAAUUUAAUAUUUUUAGUUGAAUUCAGUAAACAGAAAGAGACAUUUGGUGACACAUAAGGAAUAAAAUGUGUUCUUUCCCAUGGAAAUGGGAAUAUAAUAAAUGUCCUGCAGGUGAUUGGGCCCAUCGCAAUUUUUGUGAAGAUUAAAGUUUGACUGACCUUUGUUAGGGUGAUUAACCUUUCUGAAAUUAAAAACUCCAUCUGAAUUAGUCUGUCUAAUUUAAAUGCAAA
Molecule: non-coding RNA, 265 nt
Organism: Rattus norvegicus (Norway rat)
Lineage: Eukaryota; Metazoa; Chordata; Mammalia; Rodentia; Muridae
Source: Rfam